CUUGCACACUGUUAGAGCUCAGAGCUGAAGCCAGUUUCUGGCUAAUGAACUCUUGAGUGUAGGAUGUGUGCUAUAGCAACUGGACAGGUCUUUUCGCUAACACCACAAGGACCUUUUUUGGUCCAAUGAGUGGAGUUUGAUGGUGAUUCUUGUCACAGCA
Small nucleolar RNA from Alligator mississippiensis (American alligator), 160 nucleotides. NCBI's taxonomy places the organism in Eukaryota, Metazoa, Chordata, Crocodylia, Alligatoridae. The record is from RefSeq and is a predicted model, not a curated record.